GGAAGUUAAGAAACUGUUUUUUAAUUUUUAACUAAAAAAGCUAAAAACCGGUUCUUAAAGUCCUUAUUUAAGAACCGGUUCUUAGUUUUUUUAGUUAAAAGUUAAGAAACAGUUUCUUAACUUCC
RNAcentral lists this microRNA precursor (125 nucleotides) under Brassica carinata (Ethiopian mustard). RNAcentral's name for it is "MIR9563 microRNA precursor family". It matches the Rfam family "MIR9563 microRNA precursor family". The record is from Rfam by way of RNAcentral. RNAcentral also lists the same sequence under 1 other name. Lineage: Eukaryota; Viridiplantae; Streptophyta; Magnoliopsida; Brassicales; Brassicaceae.